RNAcentral lists this transfer RNA (89 nucleotides) under Chloroflexota bacterium. RNAcentral's name for it is "tRNA-Leu". It matches the Rfam family "tRNA". From Rfam's summary of the family: Transfer RNA (tRNA) molecules are approximately 80 nucleotides in length. Their secondary structure includes four short double-helical elements and three loops (D, anti-codon, and T loops). Lineage: Bacteria; Bacillati; Chloroflexota. The record is from RNAcentral.
GCACCGGUGGUGGAAUUGGCAGACACACCUGAUUCAAAAUCAGACGAACAGCGAUGUUCAUGCGGGUUCGAGGCCCGCCUGGUGCACCA